RNAcentral lists this ribosomal RNA (358 nucleotides) under uncultured eukaryote. RNAcentral describes it as "SSU rRNA". It matches the Rfam family "Eukaryotic small subunit ribosomal RNA", at positions 587 to 972 of the family's 1831-position model. The record is from RNAcentral.
AGCUCUAAUAGCGUAUAUUAAAGUUGUUGCAGUUGAAACGCUCGUAGUUGAACGUAAGCAAAUUUCUUCAUCGUUGCUUUUUGGCAGUGGUGAAGAUUUCUUACUCGGUCUAUUUUGUUCGCAAAGCAGACCGAGUACGUUACUGUAAGAAAAUUAGAGUGUUUCAAGCAGGCGUUUUGUCUUGAAUACUUUAUUAUGGAAUAACAUCAUGAUUUGAUUUUUCUCGCGUCGGUUCUUGGAAAAUCAAUUAGUGAUUGAAAGAGACAGUCGGGGGCAUUCGUAUUUGGUAGCUAGAGGUGAAAUUCUUAGAUUUAUCAAAGACGCACUAUUGCGAAAGCAUUUGCCAAGGAUGUUCUCA